UUGGGUUAACAAGAAAAAUUUGGUUUUUCUAUAUCACAAAAUCCAUGAGUUAAGAGAGUUCUUUUAACAUUCAAAGUUCAAGUACAAACUCUAUUUUUCACCAAUCUCACUCAUUCCCAACUUCUUCCCUUUUCUUUUUAUUGAGCUCAUCUUUCAUGCUUUUUCUUUUCUUCUUUUUCUUUUCUCAUGCAUUUUUCUUUUGCAACACUUGAGCUCAAUACUUUUCUUUUGCCUUUUCCCCCAAACUUGAACAUUUUCAACACAUACAAUUAUACUCAACCCAACUCAAGGUAAUUAAUUCAAAACAAGGGUUUUCCUGUUUAAGGCUAAGGUUAAAAAAGGGUAUAAUAUUUUAAUCACUUUAAGGGCUUCCAAACAUGGCCUUGAUCAUAUGACAUAAACAUGCAAUUCAAUCAACUAUCAAAACUGAGGCAAUAUCAUUCAUGCUUCCCCGUGAACAGUUCGUAUAUCAAUGAAAAACUCUGGAGCUCAAUACCUCACACAGCAUGC
Molecule: long non-coding RNA, 510 nt
Filed under: Vigna radiata
Lineage: Eukaryota; Viridiplantae; Streptophyta; Magnoliopsida; Fabales; Fabaceae
Description: long non-coding RNA (VRAD_LNC008749)
Source: RNAcentral